AAAUCCAGCAUACAAAACAAAACCAACCCAGAUGUCCUGUGGCAGCUUAGAGGAAUUAAGGAAAGGGAUGGAAAAAAAACCAGAAAAGAAAAGAAAAAAAGUGUUUUCUAAACUGCCGCUUCGGAGCUUUUAUCUAGAUUUAACGGAUACAUUAAUUCAAUUGACAUGCAGUUUAACCAGCCGACAACACAUGAAUACCUUCCACAAAUGGUAGGAUUUGCCUUCUUUCCCCCUGCAGAGACAUUACCACAGAUGUGAGCUUUUUCCUUCUGCUCUUUUCCUUCCCCCAUCUCUCUCUUUGUAGUAUUUUAGCAAAAAAUGAAAUGUACCACAUGUCUCCCAACACACAGGCACGGUAACCGUGAAAUGAGCUGCUCUCGGCUCCACGCUGCAGUUUCUCCCUUAACUGUCUCACUCUCUUAAUGCAAUUUUAUUGGCUUUUUAAAGUUUUGAUGGACAAAUAUUGAUAUGCUAAUGACUUUCAAACCAGUAUCCAAGAACAUAUUCUCUUACUUAAAAGAAAAAAAAAAGCCAAACAGAUUUUUGUUACCUAGGAUUGGCAUGAUGUCCAAGGACAGGUAUAAAAAGAAGCAAAACUGGGUGUUGGGAAAAUAGGGACAUGGCUAGAGAAAUUCUUAUAAGAGGAGAAAAAAGGAGAGAGAAUAAUGGAAUGCAUGCAAAAAUAAAGCAAAAGAAAGGAAAAAACCAGUACUGGAAGGGAAAUCUGACAUUUAAACCUCGGCUCCUUGCUGGUGCCCAUGGCAACUCCUCUGACAAGUUGGUAAAAACUAUUCUCUCCUUUGACUGCUUUCAAGGAUAAUCCUUGCUUCUCUUUCCUGGGAACCAUGACAGAUUUUCUCUCUUUGGGGACGGUGCUGGAGUUUCUUUUAUAAUGGCUCUAAUAAAUAAUGGAGUGUUAAUGUCUUUUAGGAUGACUAGCUGUGAAGUUGGGCCUGUUUAGGACACAUUUUCACACUUGUGUCCAAGUGAGGCAUUAUGUGGCAAGGAAUACAGGUACCUUCAAAUGUUUUUUAUCACAUUUGUUUGUGCUGUUUUAAAAAUUCAAAAUAGAAUCCAGCAUUAAAAAAAAAACCAAAAAUCAUUUAAAGGAAAACAACUUGAAUUGCUCCAUUGAGCUCAGCAUGUGGUAUUCACGGUUUCUAAAUUUAAAUAAUGUUUCCAUCUGCUCUGUUGUUCAGGAAUCUUAGGGAAAACUAUUAGAGAGCAGGAGGAGGGGGGAAGAGCAAGCAUACACAUAUUGAGGCAAGGUUAUGCUUUCUGUGUGGGAUACUUUUGAAGCAAACACAGGUCUGUACUGUGCUGGGUGUUUUCUCUGACACACAGAACCCCACAGUGCCAUAGAGUUUCCCUGAGGCCUGCCCAGCACAUCCUACUGCUCAUCCAGGGCUUUCAUCCAGGUGUGCUGGCAGCUGCCUGAGGACACUGGGGAGCAUCUCUCCUUCAAACAAUGUCUUCACUGCAGUUUGUGAGGGACAGCCUAACCUCCUGAGCACCUUCCCAAACAUCAGACACUGUCUCCUCGGGUGUAAGGUAAACUGGGCAUGGAGCAAGAAUGGAUGGAUCAGCUGCAGGAAUGAAGGUUCUCACACAUGGGCCUAUUGCUCUCAUUUCUUCACUGAAAUAUGAGCAAAAAUUUUAUCAUUUCCAGUAACCACAUUAAGUAGAAAGCGGAGUGCCAGAAGCUGUACAGCCUUGUAUUAAUAAGUCAAAGUCAGCAAGAUAAAAUGCACUCAGAAAUCCCUGGCAGCAUGAACAAGAUGCAUAGCUCUAGUCCAGAAGAGAAAAAACAUAGUGUAAGCAAGCCAUAAACCAUGUAUGUUUAAAGAAAGUCAUAAGGUUUUAUACUGUACUUAGAAUGAAAGCCUUUAAUAUAUUUAACAGCCAUCUGGAAAAUGGGCAGGACACAAAUGUGGUGAUAUUAUAAAAUGUACAAAACAAACAUGUCUAGGAGGACACAGAGAAGCCCAAGAAAGCUCGAGGCAGAAGGGCAGCAUGAGACAGAUGGAAUUAGUUGUGAGUAAAAGAAAAGUAAAAUAUAACCAAUAAUUAUAACUUCAAAUUUUGCACUUUCUGUGCAUUUAAAUGAGUUAAUUACCCAAGAAAGAGAAAGCCACUAAGGGACAAUGCCAUUAGAACCUACUGUGUCUGUGCCACAGAGCUUCUAAAAGCAAUUUCUCACAGUGAGGUUGGUAGUAGCACGUCAGUGUCGCAGGACUCUGAAUUCUUUUCAAACCCUCCGGGAAUGGUGAAGAAAUGGGGUAGGAACACAGCUCUGCAGUUUUGUUAUGCAAAUCCACAGUGCACUUCCUGAAACAUUUUGUUCAUUUCUCGUCACUGGUAACAGACACACACAAAGUUUUUGGGGGAACGGGAGAGCAGACUCUAAAAUGAUCGAUUUAAAUGAUUAAGGGAACGAGGACAUUUCCAUAUGAAGGACGAUUUACAAGUUCUGGGGCUGGUCUCUGUGUUCUGCUUGUGCAAUGCUCACUAUAAUGCACUGCCAGCCACAACAGUAGUGAGAAGCAGGACAAGGAGCUCAGCGCUACCCUGAUUAAAGAGGAUACAUCUUAGGGAAGCUGUGAUACCAGGCUACAAAGGACUGUGCAGAUCAAGAAGGAUGUUUGAAAGCCAAAAAUGUAAAACUGAUACAAAGUGCUCCAUAAUGAACCCAUCACCACACUCACCAAAGGCAAGGGCUCGAUGAGGUUUGAAAAGAUGGCUGUUUUUACAGCUAUGAAAUCCAUACCACUUCCUGAAAACAAUUAAAAGCUUUCGUAAUAAGACAAUCAUAAAAUACUACAGGAUAAGAUGAAAGAGGAGCACCUCAUUCUUCAAGCACUGAUUCAAGAAUGUAGUUAAGGAUUAACCUAAUUUUUACUUCUGGAUAUUGCCAAGUAGAGCAUGAUGGCAACUCACACACUUAAAAUUAGAAGGAAGUUUAAGCAGCCUAUGUAAAUUGAUGCCUGACUAAAGAAAGUGCAAGAGACACUCUUCCAGUAUGGAUGUAUCAUGCUGUAACCCUAAUUCAUAGUCAGAUUUUCUUCCUUCAGAAGCCAUAGUUGGCCCAGCAAUAUAAUAUUUGACAAGGUGAAGGCUGGAUUAAUUUUUCCAGAACAUGCUUAAAAAGUAAUUUAGUCAGUGGUAAUAGGUCUGAGAAAAUGUGCUUACUUUUAAAGCAGAAAGAGGUUAGACAAGGAUGGAAUAAAUAGCCUGGAAAAAGCAGAUGGUAUCGUGGUUGUGAUGGACCAUCAGGAAUGUCUCACUGCAAAAGGAAUGCAAACUAAAUGUGCCUCAGCAGUCCCACCUUUUAAUAGAGGCUCAUCCAACAGUUAUGCCAAAAAUAUGGGCUUGCUUUCCCUACAUGGUUGUUUUUUUUUUUUUUUUAGCAGUGCAGCCAUGACAAAUGACCACACAGUCAUGAAUUAGCUAAAAAUGUUUAAGCAAUAAUUAGUUUAGGGAUUAGUAAUUACAGAUUUUAAAAAUAUUUAAAUAUAAAAAGAAGGAAUACAAACAUUCUGCUCUUCAAAACCAACUGAUAGAAGAGUUUUCAAGAAAGUAAAAAUGCUUAAAACUUUUGUUUUUAAAGAACAUUGAGGGUCCUUUUUCAGCUGCUUGAGUACAGAAACUGGCACUCGAAGAAAAAUGUCAAACAGUGCAGCAAUCACAAAUUACAUAAAAUGUAAUCACAGAAUUUGGCAUCACUGUGCUAGAAUGCUAAAAUAUGCCCAAAAUACAUCCUGUUCUAGUGGGGAGAGCAUUCGACUGAGAAGGAUGAGGCAAGAUCUAUUUGUGGAUUUCAGCAGUGGCUUUCAGGGCAAUUAUAAAAACCACCUGUAGAGCUGCUUCCCAUUUUUAUUUUGAGACACAGCGUUGCACUGACAAAUCUGUACAAUGCUUAGUAAAAAUGGUUCCCAGUUUCAACUGGGGUUGUAUGUGUAACUUCACCAGAAAUAACAGCAAGAAAGAUACUCCAAAGCCCUGUAUUUAAUUCCUUGUGAGAAUACCAAGUCACAGGCAAUCUUAGCUGAGCUUUCAGACAGGCAGAGAGCAGGGGUUCAGGAAUCUCAGCAGCAGCUGCUUCUUCCUCUGGUGAAUAGACAAUGCAUGGUGGUCCUAAUGCACUCUUUCCCUGCCUUCUCUGCUCCUUGGGAUUGAGUGCAAACAUAAUAAUAAUAAUAAGAUACAAAUACAGACAUCACAGCCUAGAGCUACUCUUUUUAUCCCUAAAGCUUGAUAUUGCAGGUGUUAUUUAUACUGUCUGUUCCAUAAGGAAAUCUCUAGAAAGCAAAAUGAGGAGUUUCCAGCCUUUUGAAAGAUAAACAGCUUGCUGUGUGAAGGGGAGGAAGCACUAAUGCACAUAGCUUGAGCACAUUAUUCUUUGAUGUAUUACAGCAAAGUCAUUUCCAUGACACACUAACAUUGUUCCUUUAGGUACUGCUUCAGGAAGAGAGUAUUUCUGGUAAAAUCCUCAGGGAGCAGUAAAAACUCCAGCUGCCUGCCCUCAAGACAUGCUAAGUGAUGAUUUGAGUAUUGGAAGACAUCAGUGAUUCAGAUCUGAGGUACCUGAGCAUUAUCUAGGAGCAUCCCAUUCUCCAGGCAUCACAUUUGGACUGUAAAAGAACCCACUGCUUGUUUCUGCUGGACUCAGCUUUAAAAGAGUAACACACCUGAUUUAGGACAGAGCAGUUACAGACUCAUACACUGUGAGAUGGGUGACACUUUCACGUGCAGAUAAUCAGCCUUCCUAAACUAAGGCCUUGCGGAUCACUUCUUGGUAGCUGAUACCUAACCAGAGCUGGUGGCAGAAGUGAAGAAAGCAGAUCAGACACACAGGGUCAGGGACUCUGGAAAGUGGGGAAUUGGAGUCUGAAGAAGAAAUGGGGAAAAGAGGACAUUUUACCUCACUCUUUUGGACUGUAAAUAUGUAUAAUUUGUAUUCCCUUUUAAUGAGUUAUGCAAACAUUUGUAAUUUACAGGUAAUCUGAGCUACAGUCACAAAAUUAGAAGUCAGAUGUGGCAAGAAACCAAUACAACUGGGCAUUACACUACAAGCUGCUUCCAUUCUGCAUUUGGAUUAGACAUCACCUUUGCAAACCAAGAGGAGGCUCUGAGUUUGCAAAUGGAACCUCAAAGCAGCAGGACGUGAAAGGAAGGACAAAGUUUGCAACCUCAUGCUACAAAAUAUCUUGUCUUUGCAACAGAGAGAAACCUGAACAGAGUCCCGCUCCUGUAAGUCCCAAGCAUCCAAACUCACAGCUAUGUGGGAGGUCCCAGGAAUGAAAUUACCAUAGACCCUACAGGUACUACAGCUGAUUAAUUCCCUACAACUGCAGGCUCGGUGACCCCUGAAGAGCAUAAAACCAGCAGGAAGGAGUGGCUUCCUUGGCAGUGUGUGUGGUACAUGCAUGAGCCAGGGGAUGUCACUCCCAGCCAGAACAGGCCUCCCACACUUCCUUCACGAAUUCCCCCCGAAAAGGCCCUUCUGGCCUUUGAAACAGCAAACAGGGGCUUCAGCUCUCACCAGACCUCUGUACUGUCAGAACCAUGGCCAGCCAGUCUGCAUUUCUCUCUCCUCAUGUGACUCCUUCUAGGGAUCUCUCAUCUGCUCCAUUCCCAUCAUCCUGGCACAUCUCCCUAGCUCCAGCUCCCCUUUUGGAUCACACAUCAUCUCCCUUCCAAAUGCUGUACCAGGACAAAGUCAUGUCUGUGUGUGACAGGGAAGGAAGUGCUUUAUCUGCUGAGUUCCUUAAAAUCUAUUCCAACCUUCUAAAAUGUCUGCCAGUGACUGAAGCAAAACCAAUGCUUUUCCAAUGAAGGUUUAAAAACCUGUAUCUUUAGUAAAUUUCAGAAUAUCCCACAUAAAGCAGGACUAUAUUUCACUGAACCUACCACCCCCAUACAUGAAUUCUGUGAGAGAUGGAGCCUUACCAAAACACCACUGACCUAACAGCAAGGUGUGCUCAGGGCAGUAGAUCCCUCUUGUCUCACGGACAAAGCUGCCAGAAGACUCUAGAUGAAAAUCAGUGACAAACUGGGAGUAAUAGCUGGACUCUGUUUACGCUGAGGAAAUAGAAUGGGAUGAAAAAGAACUCCCUGCACUCUCAGACCCUCCAGCCAAACUCACAAGAUGCCAUGAGUCUUGUACUAGUAUGCUGCUCUUGCAUAACACCAUCAGAUACUGCUCUUCUGGUCAUGCCUGAUGUUUUGGAGGACAGUUUUAUUUGUUGAUAUAGAAACAACUGAGAAAGGAAUUUUCCCCCCUCAAGACAGAUGGUGAAACAUCUGUAUAUGGAUCAGUGUUACCACAUCUGCCUCGUUCAUGAUCAGCAAUUGCCUCUACCACAGCCAAAACAGAAAUGUAGGCGGCUUGAGCUAAAGGCUUUAACUCAACAAGCAAGAUAAGAAAUGAGGAAAAAAAUCCUACACAUUCCCCAGGAAACCAUAAGUAGGCAGAAAUCAAGCCCCCAGUUCAGAAGAACUCUUUAUGCUUGAGUGUUUUGUGGACACUUGAAGAAGACAAACCCUGCAGUGGCACGGAGCCACUGAGUGCUGGUCAGCACUUGGUUCAGUGACAGUUCCCAGAGCAAAGCUCCUGAAAGUGCCAACAUCAUUCCAUGGAACUGCCCCAGUGGCUCCAGCUGCAGUCCCAGUCCAGCACGAUCCUGGUCAGGCAGAGCAGCAGACAGGGCACCGAGCAGACAAACUAAAGCCAGGACAGAGAAACAGCACUGAGCUUUGGCUUUACCUUUCCAGCAGGAACACCAUGCACAAGGACUGUGGAACAAUAUCUCAGUAAACAAUAAAACCCUCAAUUAAUAAGGGAACUAGUCACAUGCUUUUUGCCUGACAUUUCUAUACAGUAUAUAAGUAAAUGUUAUCUCAAAAUAUCUUGCUGCUGGCAACGUAUUAUCCUAUCAGUGCAUGAUUUGACAUGUGCUUUCCUUUAACAACCAGAGAGGCAAUAAGCAGAAUCUAUGGAGCUUCUCUCAGCUUGAAUUCCUCUACAACUCAGAGGGAUACUGCAACUGCAUCCACCACACAUAUGGAGUCAUAAAAUACUCAUCACUGAUUCUCAGGAGCAGGUUCAAUUAUUUUGGUAGAUUGGCACUUCAGCUCCUUGACAAAGUUUACUAGCACCUAAUUUUACAAAUCUUGAGAACAAACAAGGGAGAAAUCAGUGUUUCUGCCUUUGGCAGCCCACAAGAAUGAUGACAUCCUUCCUAAACCUCAACCAAGUCUAAGGUUAUAGAUACAACAUUUAAUCUCAUUCUGCUUUUUGCACAUCUGUAUUACUGGUUUAUACAGCAGUUCUGUAAAGAUUCCCUGUAGACUUCAAAAAAUUUUUAUUUCAAAACUGAUUUAUGAACUGAGAGUCAUGUUCCGUGCUUAUGGUGCUUUUAUCCCUAAAAAUGAAAAGCUGAGAGUGAGUGAUAGGUAUCUCCUGUUAACAGGACUUUAGGACUAUUUGUUUUCCAUUUUCAUUUCCCAGCACAGUCAUAAAUCGGUGUCGGAUUGAUUCAAUGACCCAGAUAUCACUGCUUCCACAACUUGGUCAUUUUUAUCUCCUCAUCAAAAAAAAUGGUUGCAAUACAGGAAGGAUCUUUAUGUCUUUUUCUAUCAAGUUGCUAUGCCAGUUAUUUGCAACAUAGAUGCUAAAAUGGACAUGUCACAGGAAAGUUAUUAUUAUUUUUAUUGCAAACAGAACAGAAUUAGCCACAGCUGCAAACUGAAAUUUUAUUCCUCAGCCUUUUUAUUAAAAUUAGCUCACUUUGUCAUCUGGUGUCCAAUUAUCUCUCAGACAGACAAACUGCAUCUUCCACACAGAAGAAAAAAGCAGACUGAACAUCUCCUUCACUGGAACAGUGUUUCCCUUUUGAUCCCUCUUGGUAAGAUGAAGGUAAAAACAGCCAUGCAUGUUCCUCUGUCCUACACAGGAAGCUUCCCAUCUGUCCACAAACAAGGGCUCAUUUUUAUUGCUUUGGACAUUUCCUAGGGAACAGAAAGUACCACUGCCAAUUUCUGUCCCAGGAAGUACGAUGUUUGAUUUUAAUUAUAUUUCCAGAGCUUUUUAGGACUACAGCAUUUCUAAUUACUAGUGCAAACUGAAGGUAUCAGGAUAGGAUGCCCUCCUGACAUCUUAAGUGCAGCAAAACAGAUGAGCUGAUCACUCCAUUCCUCGCCUCAGGGUAUGGAUCAAUGUCAAAGGAAGGAUAAUAGACUAUAGAAACCUCUCCUGGGCACUGGGAAAAGGCACCUGAGGAGAUGCUUUACUCUGAUGGGAGGUCCCAUCAAAGCAUUCUGUGACAGGAGAGAAACAAAUUCCGAAUGGUGACACCACCAAAGUCCUGCAGAAACCUGGUGAAAGCCCUCUGUAAUACCUGAAUCCCACAUUUCUGCAUGGAAAAAAAUUCCUGAAACACUGGACAGGGAAUACACUGCUGAGUCUACAUACUCCUCCUGUAUGUUAACAAGUGGGUGAGAAUGGGAAGAAACUAUUUCUAUAGUUACCUAUUUACCCACUGCUCACCCUCCCCCUGCUCCGCUCUCCUGGCUUAGUGCCUGCAGAGGAUCCCAGUUUGGAAUCCAUGAUCUGAAAACAGUAACAGAAUUUAACAAAAAAGCAAUUGGCGAGACCAUUGAAAUAAUACAGCGAAGAUUAAUUAUUUCUAAGAAUUACUGCCAACUACCGAAAAAAAAAAAAAAAAAAAGAAAGCCAAGAAAAGUUUUAACUGAAAAUAAUUACAGUUUCCUAAACCUCGGAAUGCAAUGGAUUUAGUUAAUAUGCAAAAUUCUCUUUGGAGCUAUGCAAAUAAUUGGGUUAUGGAGAUGCAUGAGAGAUGGGUUUGUAUCAUGAAUCAAGGUAAGAGAAUUUCAUCACAAAAGAACAGCUGUUCCAGGGCUUGACUUCUGAAAACAAAGUUAUGUUUAAAAAAAAUCUCAAAAAAGCUCCCUGGCAAUAUUCAGUAUUAAGG
Molecule: long non-coding RNA, 8993 nt
Organism: Taeniopygia guttata (zebra finch)
Lineage: Eukaryota; Metazoa; Chordata; Aves; Passeriformes; Estrildidae
Source: Ensembl